RNAcentral lists this ribosomal RNA (468 nucleotides) under Triticum aestivum (bread wheat). RNAcentral describes it as "partial small subunit ribosomal RNA". The record is from RNAcentral. Lineage: Eukaryota; Viridiplantae; Streptophyta; Magnoliopsida; Poales; Poaceae.
AUGGCGGCGGGGAGGGUGACCGGCCAUCGGACUGUGGAGGCGUGUGCUCUCAAGGUAUGCGGCAGCAACAAGGAAGAUGAGGGGGAUGCGGCUGGCAAUUUCGAGGCAGCGGUGGAGAAGACGUCUGCUUCGUUCGCCGGCGGUGAAGUCAUGGAGGCGGAGACGGAAUCCUUCUUGGCUAGCCAUCAAGGCAUGGAGGCUCAGACCAAAAGGAAGAUGUUUAUGUCGCCGGAGGACAUGGAUGUGAUCCUCAGCCACGAGGCGAGGGGAGACAGCUUCAAGCAGUUCCAGGCCAGGAUCAGGAAGGAGGUGGCGGAGACGGGCCACUUCGAGAUCUCCGAAGAGUAUUUCAACAAGGUGUUCCAGCACCGAGCUUGGAUCAGGCAAGAAUGGUCCAACCUGAGGUCCCAGUAUCCCAACUUGGUGUGGGAGGAGGAGGAGGAGGACGAGCCUGUGAAAUCCGGCUGA